RNAcentral lists this transfer-messenger RNA (406 nucleotides) under pig gut metagenome. It matches the Rfam family "transfer-messenger RNA". Rfam says of the family: Bacterial tmRNA, also known as 10Sa RNA or SsrA, is named for its dual tRNA and mRNA-like properties. Its role is to liberate the mRNA from a stalled ribosome. To accomplish this part of the tmRNA is used as a reading frame that ends in a translation stop signal. The record is from RNAcentral.
GGGGCUGACAUGGAUUUGACAGCAGGAUGGUAUGUCAUGUAAGCACGCAGAGAGUUGGAGGCCGCUCUCUAUAAUCUCAGACUUUCAAAAAUUUAAUUGGCGAAAACAACUACGCUCUCGCUGCCUAAUCGAAGUACAGUAGAUUACUGGCCUAAUCUCGGCACAAGGUGCUGAGACGAGACAUCGCUCAGGAGCUCUCGUCCCGAAGCGUCUGACAAAGCGGUGCAGGAAAAUCGGGAAUAGUCAGGGGUGACGUCUCUAACCCCAGAUGAAAUUCCAUAGAGACUAAGGCACCGGUUGGUGGUCCAGGUCUUGCCGUUGCACUAAAACCAAAGGCUGGAAUAAGCGUGUAGAAAGCAUGGGAUGCUCCUGUUUGGACGAGGGUUCAAUUCCCUCCAGCUCCACA